RNAcentral lists this unclassified non-coding RNA (339 nucleotides) under soil metagenome. RNAcentral's name for it is "partial contains 5.8S ribosomal RNA, internal transcribed spacer 2, and large subunit ribosomal RNA". The stretch from base 1 to 120 matches the Rfam family "5.8S ribosomal RNA", at positions 35 to 154 of the family's 154-position model. The record is from RNAcentral.
GAUGAAGAACGUAGCGAAAUGCGAUAAGUAAUGUGAAUUGCAGAAUUCAGUGAAUCAUCGAAUCUUUGAACGCACAUUGCGCCCGCCAGUAUUCUGGCGGGCAUGCCUGUCCGAGCGUCAUUUCAACCAUCAAGCCCCCGGGCUUGUGUUGGGGACCUGCGGCUGCCCGCGGGCCCCGAAAACCAGUGGCGGGCUCGCUGUCACACCGAGCGUAGUAGCAAUCACCUCGCUCAGGGCGUGCUGCGGGUUCCGGCCGUUAAACAGCCUUACAAAACCCAAGGUUGACCUCGGAUCAGGUAGGAAGACCCGCUGAACUUAAGCAUAUCAAUAAGCGGAGGA